AGAUGUACCGUGGCCAAUACCGUAAGAGUCUUAAGCAAUAUAUUUAAUUGCAGAUCUGGGAAACAAUCGCUUCCCUCCCGGGCGAUGCGUCCGAUAUCUCGACGUUCAUACGGAUGGACAGACGGACAAUGCUGGAUCUUCUCGGCUAGUGGUCCGGGUCAAAAAUAUAAACCAAUACUUUACGGUUCCUUCUACCUUGACUUACUUAUCAAGGCUCUUUCAUUAAAGACUACACAUCUAAGUUUUUCAACCUCAAGCAUUGAUGUUGACAACUGAUUUUGCACUUUAGAUAAUGAUAAAUCGACAUUUCGACGUUUUUCCUGAGAUUUACUUAAGAGUUUCAAACGGAAGAUACAGCAAAAUUUGGCAUCGAUGCGAUUAUGCAUUGAGUACGAGAGACUUAAUUGAAGAGCGAGCAGCAGAACGUUAAGCCAAAAGUGCAGAUGCGAAGACAAGACAGAUAGAGAAAUAUAUUUUCGUAGAAAAGUUUUCCUAUAAUGUCAUAGUAAAUGGGUCGGUACGAUGAUUAAGUUACGGUCAUUAAAAUCCAACGAAAAAUUAUUCAACCAACCAUCUACUCAAAGAAGUCCAACUCAGUCUUUACCUUAAUCCUGU
This is a long non-coding RNA of Drosophila santomea, 615 nucleotides long. RefSeq lists it as uncharacterized. NCBI's taxonomy places the organism in Eukaryota, Metazoa, Arthropoda, Insecta, Diptera, Drosophilidae. The record is from RefSeq and is a predicted model, not a curated record. The transcript is spliced from 4 exons.